GCGACGCUCCGUCGUCGGGCUCGUUGCCGGCGCAACCAGGGAGGAAACCGCCGGCGUUGCUGUAGCGCGUCUGGGAAUUACACCGGGGUACUGGCCGGCCCGCUUCGUGCCUGCGGGAAGUCGGGCCGGGGGACUCUUCGGAAACUCCGAGCCUCAGAGAAAUAUGGAGCUCCCGACGCUGCCGUUCUACUGGUGCAGCCAGCAGCGCCUGAAUCAGCAGCUAGCACGACAGCGAGAGCAGGAGGCCCGGCUUCGGCAGCAGUGGGAGCAGAACAGCCGUUACUUCAGGAUGUCUGACAUCUGCAGCUCCAAACAGGCAGAGUGGAGCUCUAAAACCUCCUACCAGCGGAGCAUGCACGCCUAUCAGCGUGAGAAGAUGAAGGAGGAGAAGAGGAGGAGUCUGGAGGCCCGACGGGAAAAGCUCAGGCAGCUCAUGCGGGAGGAGCAGGACCUGCUGGCCAGAGAACUGGAGGAGCUGAGGCUGAGCAUGAACUUGCAGGAAAGAAGAAUCCGGGAGCAGCACAGGAAGCUGAAAUCAGCCAGAGAAGAGCAGAGGAAACUGAUUGCUGAACAACUUUUGUAUGAACACUGGAAAAAGAACAACCCGAAACUUCGAGAGGUGAAAAUCAGAGAUCUCCAUUGAUUUACCUAAGUAGAUGAAAUCAUGUUUCCAGACACUUUCUUUUUUAACACGUAUCUUGUACUGGGUUGAAACAGAGGAGGGAACCUUGAGCCACCUGAAAACAGCACCAGGCAGAAAAUCUGGCACAGGCUGCACUGAGUGGCUCAUUCAGUUGUUGAACAAACGUUGAUUGAACCUCUGCUGCCUGGUCUACCAGGUGGGGGUAUGGA
RNAcentral lists this small RNA (852 nucleotides) under Pongo abelii (Sumatran orangutan). Its description in RNAcentral is "retained intron". The record is from RNAcentral. Lineage: Eukaryota; Metazoa; Chordata; Mammalia; Primates; Hominidae.